ACUUAAAUAAUUUAAAUUUAAAAUAUUGAUUUGUGGUUUCAAAAAUAUGAUAAAUAUCAUUUUAAGUU
RNAcentral lists this transfer RNA (68 nucleotides) under Loxostege sticticalis (beet webworm). RNAcentral describes it as "tRNA-His". The record is from RNAcentral. Lineage: Eukaryota; Metazoa; Arthropoda; Insecta; Lepidoptera; Crambidae.